GCGGGGAUAGCUCAGUUGGGAGAGCGUCAGACUGAAGUCAAACUUCAUCAUUUAAUCUGAAGGCCGUGCGUUCAAUCCGCACUCACCGCA
RNAcentral lists this transfer RNA (90 nucleotides) under Xylaria sp. CBS 124048. RNAcentral's name for it is "tRNA-Phe". It matches the Rfam family "tRNA". From Rfam's summary of the family: Transfer RNA (tRNA) molecules are approximately 80 nucleotides in length. Their secondary structure includes four short double-helical elements and three loops (D, anti-codon, and T loops). The record is from RNAcentral. Lineage: Eukaryota; Fungi; Ascomycota; Sordariomycetes; Xylariales; Xylariaceae.